Molecule: ribosomal RNA, 280 nt
Filed under: Chlamydosporiella restricta
Lineage: Eukaryota; Fungi; Ascomycota; Sordariomycetes; Glomerellales; Plectosphaerellaceae
Description: Acremonium restrictum partial large subunit ribosomal RNA
Rfam family: Eukaryotic large subunit ribosomal RNA
Source: RNAcentral
GGCUCCCUCGACGAGUCGAGUAGUUUGGGAAUGCUGCUCUAAGGGGAGGUAUACUCCUUCCAAGGCUAAAUACCGGCUAGAGACCGAUAGCGCACAAGUAGAGUGAUCGAAAGAUGAAAAGCACUUUGAAAAGAGAGUCAAAUAGCACGUGAAAUUGUUGAAAGGGAAGCGCUUGCUACCAGACUUGGGUUCGGCGGUUCAACCGGCGCCACGCGCCGGGGCACUCCGCCGGCCCAGGCCAGCAUCAGCUCUCCGUCGGGGGCAAAGACGCCGGGAAUGU